This 72-nucleotide transfer RNA is filed under the name Antonospora locustae. RNAcentral describes it as "tRNA-Gln". It matches the Rfam family "tRNA". Rfam says of the family: Transfer RNA (tRNA) molecules are approximately 80 nucleotides in length. Their secondary structure includes four short double-helical elements and three loops (D, anti-codon, and T loops). The record is from RNAcentral. Lineage: Eukaryota; Fungi; Microsporidia.
GGUUCCAUAGUGUAGUGGUUAUCACUCGAGAUUCUGAUUCUCGAAACCCGAGUUCGAAUCUCGGUGGGACCU